Non-coding RNA from Acanthosepion pharaonis, 91 nucleotides. The record is from the annotation of a GenBank genome assembly. NCBI's taxonomy places the organism in Eukaryota, Metazoa, Mollusca, Cephalopoda, Sepiida, Sepiidae.
ACCAGUUCUCUUUUGAUCACUGAAGUUAAGCAGUGUUGCACCCAGUAAGUACUUAGAUGGGGGACUGCAUGGUAACACCAGGUACUGCAAG